UUGAAAUACCAGCUAGGAGUUUGUUUUCUCAACUUCUGUACUCGGUGUUGCUCUUUAUUUAUUAAUAAAAAUUUGACUUUGUUUUUCUUUUUUUUUCUUUCUUAUUUAAAUAUUCCUUUUAGUUCUGAAAACUGGUAUCUUCUCCUGGACGUGUUUUUUUCAUAUGGUAAUGGGUUGGGAUGGUGAUUAGCGAUUAAAAAUAG
RNAcentral lists this long non-coding RNA (203 nucleotides) under Linum usitatissimum (flax). RNAcentral describes it as "long non-coding RNA (LUSI_LNC007003)". Lineage: Eukaryota; Viridiplantae; Streptophyta; Magnoliopsida; Malpighiales; Linaceae. The record is from RNAcentral.